GGAAGUAAGAUCCCUGAAAGAUGAUCAGGUUGAUAGGUCUGAGGUGGAAGCGUGGUGACACGUGGAGCUGACAGAUACUAAUAGAUCGAGGACUUAACCUA
This 101-nucleotide ribosomal RNA is filed under the name Bacillus altitudinis. RNAcentral describes it as "partial 23S ribosomal RNA". It matches the Rfam family "Bacterial large subunit ribosomal RNA", at positions 2824 to 2925 of the family's 2925-position model. The record is from RNAcentral. Lineage: Bacteria; Bacillati; Bacillota; Bacilli; Caryophanales; Bacillaceae.